UACAGAGGUCUCCAGCGUUGUUCGGAUUCAUUGGGCGUCAAGGGUGCGUAGGCGGCGCGGUAAGUCGGGUGUGAAAUCUCGGAGCUUAACUCCGAAACUGCAUUCGAUACUGCCGUGCUUGAGGACUGGAGAGGAGACUGGAAUUUACGGUGUAGCGGUGAAAUGCGUAGAUAUCGUAAGGAAGACCAGUGGCGAAGGCGGGUCUCUGGACAGUUCCUGACGCUGAGGCACGAAGGUCAGGGGAGCAAACGGG
Molecule: ribosomal RNA, 253 nt
Filed under: uncultured bacterium
Lineage: Bacteria
Description: partial 16S ribosomal RNA
Rfam family: Bacterial small subunit ribosomal RNA
Source: RNAcentral